CCCAUUUCUCGUGAGAGCUCUAGAGAAUAGCCUAUAAUUCUCAUAGGAAGCGGCCCCACUUCCACACUCACAAGGUGAAUUCUAUCAAGGAUGUUUACGUAACUCCAACACCCCACCCAUUCGGGCUAUAGAACUCAUUAAGAGAUCAAAGUCUCAACCUCACAAUUCGUUACGAGCUUUAUUAGUGCACACGCAUCAUAGGGAUGGAUAAUAAAAGUGUGCACUUUUAUCACUAUCAAGUUGCUUUCAGAUUCGUUUUUCUUCGCCUAGUUCGUAGGAUCUCUA
Molecule: long non-coding RNA, 285 nt
Filed under: Erythranthe guttata (spotted monkey flower)
Lineage: Eukaryota; Viridiplantae; Streptophyta; Magnoliopsida; Lamiales; Phrymaceae
Description: long non-coding RNA (EGUT_LNC003634)
Source: RNAcentral